CGGGUGAGUAAUGUCUGGGAAACUGCCUGAUGGAGGGGGAUAACUACUGGAAACGGUAGCUAAUACUGCAUAACGUCGCAAGACCAAAGAGGGGGACCUUCGGGCCUCUUGCCAUCGGAUGUGCCCAGAUGGGAUUAGCUAGUAGGUGGGGUAACGGCUCACCUAGGCGACGAUCCCUAGCUGGUCUGAGAGGAUGACCAGCCACACUGGAACUGAGACACGGUCCAG
This 228-nucleotide ribosomal RNA is filed under the name uncultured bacterium. RNAcentral describes it as "partial 16S ribosomal RNA". It matches the Rfam family "Bacterial small subunit ribosomal RNA", at positions 103 to 334 of the family's 1533-position model. The record is from RNAcentral.